CGGCUCACCAAGGCCACGAUGCAUAGCCGACCUGAGAGGGUGAUCGGCCACAUUGGGACUGAGACACGGCCCAAACUCCUACGGGAGGCAGCAGUAGGGAAUCUUCGGCAAUGGACGAAAGUCUGACCGAGCAACGCCGCGUGAGUGAAGAAGGUUUUCGGAUCGUAAAACUCUGUUGUUAGAGAAGAACAAGGAUGAGAGUAACUGUUCAUCCCUUGACGGUAUCUAACCAGAAAGCCACGGCUAACUACGUGCCAGCAGCCGCGGUAAUACGUAGGUGGCAAGCGUUGUCCGGAUUUAUUGGGCGUAAAGCGAGCGCAGGCGGUUUCUUAAGUCUGAUGUGAAAGCCCCCGGCUCAACCGGGGAGGGUCAUUGGAAACUGGGAGACUUGAGUGCAGAAGAGGAGAGUGGAAUUCCAUGUGUAGCGGUGAAAUGCGUAGAUAUAUGGAGGAACACCAGUGGCGAAGGCGGCUCUCUGGUCUGUAACUGACGCUGAGGCUCGAAAGCGUGGGGAGCAAACAGGAUUAGAUACCCUGGUAGUCCACGCCGUAAACGAUGAGUGCUAAGUGUUGGAGGGUUUCCGCCCUUCAGUGCUGCAGCUAACGCAUUAAGCACUCCGCCUGGGGAGUACGACCGCAAGGUUGAAACUCAAAGGAAUUGACGGGGGCCCGCACAAGCGGUGGAGCAUGUGGUUUAAUUCGAAGCAACGCGAAGAACCUUACCAGGUCUUGACAUCCUUUGACCACUCUAGAGAUAGAGCUUCCCCUUCGGGGGCAAAGUGACAGGUGGUGCAUGGUUGUCGUCAGCUCGUGUCGUGAGAUGUUGGGUUAAGUCCCGCAACGAGCGCAACCCUUAUUGUUAGUUGCCAUCAUUCAGUUGGGCACUCUAGCAAGACUGCCGGUGACAAACCGGAGGAAGGUGGGGAUGACGUCAAAUCAUCAUGCCCCUUAUGACCUGGGCUACACACGUGCUACAAUGGGAAGUACAACGAGUUGCGAAGUCGCGAGGCUAAGCUAAUCUCUUAAAGCUUCUCUCAGUUCGGAUUGCAGGCUGCAACUCGCCUGCAUGAAGCCGGAAUCGCUAGUAAUCGCGGAUCAGCACGCCGCGGUGAAUACGUUCCCGGGCCUUGUACACACCGCCCGUCACACCACGAGAGUUUGUAACACCCGAAGUCGGUGAGGUAACCUUUUGGAGCCAGCCGCCUAAGGUGGGAUAGAUGAUUGGGGUGAAGUCGUAACAAGGUAGCCGUAUCGGAAGGUGCGGCUGGAUCACCU
RNAcentral lists this ribosomal RNA (1274 nucleotides) under Enterococcus faecium. RNAcentral's name for it is "bacterial SSU rRNA". It matches the Rfam family "Bacterial small subunit ribosomal RNA", at positions 261 to 1528 of the family's 1533-position model. Lineage: Bacteria; Bacillati; Bacillota; Bacilli; Lactobacillales; Enterococcaceae. The record is from RNAcentral.